CACAAGCGGUGGAGCAUGUGGUUUAAUUCGAUGAUACGCGAGGAACUUACCUGGGCUCAAAUGUAUGUUGACGUAUUCUGAAAGGGAUACUUCUUCGGACAAUAUACAAGGUGCUGCAUGGUUGUCGUCAGCUCGUGCCGUGAGGUGUCGGGUUAAGUCCCAUAACGAGCGCAACCCUACCUUUAGUUGCCAUCAGGUAAUGCUGGGGACUCUAAAGGAACUGCCUACGCAAGUAGUGAGGAAGGCGGGGAUGACGUCAAAUCAGCACGGCCCUUACGUCCAGGGCUACACACGUGCUACAAUGGCCGAUACAGAGGGCAGCUACCUGGUGACAGGAUGCAAAUCUCCAAAGUCGGUCUCAGUUCGGAUCGGAGUCUGCAACCCGACUCCGUGAAGUUGGAUUCGCUAGUAAUCGCGCAUCAGCCAUGGCGCGGUGAAUACGUUCCCGGGCCUU
Molecule: ribosomal RNA, 454 nt
Filed under: uncultured Sphingobacteriales bacterium
Lineage: Bacteria; Pseudomonadati; Bacteroidota; Sphingobacteriia; Sphingobacteriales
Description: bacterial SSU rRNA
Rfam family: Bacterial small subunit ribosomal RNA
Source: RNAcentral